Molecule: ribosomal RNA, 495 nt
Filed under: uncultured bacterium
Lineage: Bacteria
Description: partial 16S ribosomal RNA
Rfam family: Bacterial small subunit ribosomal RNA
Source: RNAcentral
UGAACGCUGGCGGCGUGCCUAAUACAUGCAAGUCGAGCGAACAGACGAGGAGCUUGCUCCUCUGACGUUAGCGGCGGACGGGUGAGUAACACGUGGAUAACCUACCUAUAAGACUGGGAUAACUUCGGGAAACCGGAGCUAAUACCGGAUAAUAUAUUGAACCGCAUGGUUCAAUAGUGAAAGACGGUUUUGCUGUCACUUAUAGAUGGAUCCGCGCCGCAUUAGCUAGUUGGUAAGGUAACGGCUUACCAAGGCAACGAUGCGUAGCCGACCUGAGAGGGUGAUCGGCCACACUGGAACUGAGACACGGUCCAGACUCCUACGGGAGGCAGCAGUAGGGAAUCUUCCGCAAAGGGCGAAAGCUUGACGGAGCAACGCCGCGUGAGUGAUGAAGGUCUUCGGAUCGUAAAACUCUGUUAUUAGGGAAGAACAAAUGUGUAAGUAACUAUGCACGUCUUGACGGUACCUAAUCAGAAAGCCACGGCUAACUACGUG